ACAAAAAUGAGUGAAAAAUGAGAAACGGCUUUCGUUGAUGGAGGAUGUUCAGCAGAAUCUGAGGAACUGACAGACUCAGUCACCAUUUACUUUCAUUGUUACAUGGUUUCUAUGCUGCCUAACAUCUCCUAUUGUGUUUCACAGAAGAUAGAAAGCCAUACAGGUUUGGAACAACAUUAGGGUGAGUAAAUUAUGAACUUUUUUUGGUAUAUUUUUCGACCCACUUUGGAACGCCCAAUUCCCAAUGCGCUCCGAGUCCUCGUGGUGGCGUAGUGGCGGAGGACGAAUCCGCACAUCUUAUCACGUGGCUUGUUGAGCGCGUCACCAUGGAGACGUAGCGCGUGUGGAGGCUUCGCGCUAUUCUCCGCGGCAUCCGUGCACAACACGCCCCACCGAGAGCGAGAACCACAUUAUAGUGACCACGAGGAGGUUACCCCAUGAGACUCUACCCUCCCUAGCAACCGGGCCAAUUUGGUUGCUAAGGAGACCUGACUGGAGUCACUCACCACACGCCCCACCGAGAGCGAGAACCACAUUAUAGCGACCACGAGGAGGUUACCCCAUGUGACUCUACCCUCCCUAGCAACCGGGCCAUUUUGGUUGCUAAGGAGACCUGACUGGAGUCACUCACCACACCGAGCACGAGAACCACAUUAUAGUGACCACAAGAAGGUUACCCCAUGUGACUCUACCCUCCCUAGCAACCGGGCCAAUUUGGUUGCUAAGGAGACCUGGCUGGAGUCACUCAGCACGCCCCACCGAGAGCGAGAACCACAUUAUAGCGACCACGAUGAGGUUAACCCAUGUGACUCUACCCUCCCUAGCAACCGGGCCAAUUUGGUUGCUAAGGAGACCUGACUUGAGUCACUCGCCACACGCCCCACCGAGCGCGAGAACCACAUUAUAGCGACCACGAGGAGGUUACCCCAUGUGACUCUACCCUCCCUAGCAACCGGGCCAAUUUGGUUGCUAAGGAGACCUGACUGGAGUCACUCGC
Xyrauchen texanus (razorback sucker) is the source of this 997-nucleotide long non-coding RNA. RefSeq lists it as uncharacterized. The record is from RefSeq and is a predicted model, not a curated record. The transcript is spliced from 2 exons. NCBI's taxonomy places the organism in Eukaryota, Metazoa, Chordata, Actinopteri, Cypriniformes, Catostomidae.